UUAUUUAACAGACGAUGCUCUGUUCGCUAUGGCUCGACUAAUUGGAUCUCCCUUUCGAAUUGAUCGACAUACGGUCGAAGCUGAGUGUGGACGGUAUGCAAGGUUUUGUUAGGAAGCCCCUUGAGUUGACUGUAGGCUGGAAUGGAGACUGGUUCAAUGUGGAAUAUGAAGGAAUACCACUCCUUUGCGAGCGGUGUGGGUUUGCUGGUCACGGCGUGACAUCAUGCCCUAGGUUUCCCAUGCAGGCCAUAGACACUAAUGUCCCAUCGUCUGGGACACUGGUGCAUAGCGAGUAGGGAGCCAAUGAGAGUGAGGAUAACGUGCAAGCCAAUGCUAACCAACCUCAACGAUGUCGAAGCGGAAUUCGGAAAACAGGCAACUAAAGGGCAAUGAAGAAAGCCGGACACGGUUCAUCAAUAUGAAAAUCUGGUGAUACAGUUUCCGUGACGCCCCAAUUUCAAGUUAACAGUUGAUCUUUGGUUUUGAUCUCUUUUUGUGAUUAUGAGAGAAGUCGUUAAUGAAUGGACAAUCACGGGCGUUAUUGUCAGCCUUUGAUACCCUAAGUUUCGGUUUGGUUAAAUUUCGAGUUGAUUUAAAUUCUUC
RNAcentral lists this long non-coding RNA (603 nucleotides) under Linum usitatissimum (flax). RNAcentral describes it as "long non-coding RNA (LUSI_LNC006452)". The record is from RNAcentral. Lineage: Eukaryota; Viridiplantae; Streptophyta; Magnoliopsida; Malpighiales; Linaceae.